This is a long non-coding RNA of Scatophagus argus, 2522 nucleotides long. RefSeq lists it as uncharacterized. The record is from RefSeq and is a predicted model, not a curated record. NCBI's taxonomy places the organism in Eukaryota, Metazoa, Chordata, Actinopteri, Scatophagidae. The transcript is spliced from 2 exons.
AACAAGUUCUGCACUUUAAGCCUUACACUAAUAUGUAAACUUUACAGCGGUCUGCCAUACAAAUCGUCCAGGCUAUAACGUUACAGCGCUUUAACAUAACCGCCACUGUGAAGGUGUUAGCUAAAUCUGACCGAUCUUACAGCGCAGACCGCUCACAUUCGCGGAUUAGUGAUGGUGCUAGUAAAAGAUCGAGCACAGAAAACAACCGUGAGCAAACAUUCCUAUAACUACAACGCACAUCAGCACAUUAAAAUGAUGCACUGUCAUGAAACAGCCAUGACGUUAAAUGUUAGUGACGGAGAGGCUGCUACAUGUUGUCUGCAUUAAUGUCUGAGACACGGCUGACAUGACUGCAGCACCGCAUCCCCUCCGUGGCACUAACCGACAGAUACGCCAGCUAACAAGUUAACCGCAGUCCAUCAAAGAUCUCGGGCUAGCGUCUCGAUUGCAUGUACAAACGUCUACAAAAUUGAUAACAUGUCAUCGACAGGCUGUCACAAGUGUUCAUAAUGCAGUGACAGCUCUGCGUCCGCACGCAGUUAUAACUGGAGCUUCAGGGCUAACAUGCUAACGCGGAACGAAUACACACCAAGCUAGCAAGCGUUAGCUACAUGUUGUAAACAACCGUUGUGACUGGCUAACGUUGCAUGCCACGUAUUUAACGAAACAACCAGUACUUCUUUGUCGAAACAAGAGAGCUAACUCUUGUAACACAACACUCUGGAUUUAAAAGAAAAAUCCGUAAAGUACUGACGACAAGGGAAUUGUUUCGGGGAACUACAGUGAGAAAAGUCAACCACGAUGAUCACCUGCUCGGUCAGAUUUCACUGGUCUCUGUGUGCUUUCAUGUGUUUCCUGGUGUACACUUCAAAUCUGUUCUUUCUAUCACAACAGAGAGACUAAAGGCCAGCUGACAGAAAUGAACUCUUGGUUAUUGCAAGACAGCCAGGUGGUUAUACAGCAGGAUGGAUUUCUCUCAGUUGUUACGCUAAUGGAGAGCACCACAGUCGAUAAAUGACACUAACAAUUUCGUUCUGCUUGGGCUGCUGUAAUUGAAAAGUAACUGAUGCAGAACUAUAUAGAGCCUUUUUUUCAUCUCUGAUAUUUCGUUUCAUAGUUUCAGGCAUUCAGUUAGUUAUGAUUUGGCCUGUUUCAAAUGCCAACUUCCCCAUGAUGUUUGCUCACUGUGCUGUGUGACCGAUCUCAGAGUCUGUUAGAUGUAUACAAGAGAAUCUGAAAACAAACAAACAAUGACAAUAUCUCCCAGAACACAAUGGCAAUUGUUUUAUUUCAGUUACUGGAGCAGCAUUUUCGGCUGUUUUCAAUUCAAGUUACGUCUCCCAGUUCUAUAUUGAUCGGGGGAGAGUAGCUCGCUUCACUUUUCUGUGAGGAACUUUUCACAUUUAACAUUCAUAUACUUUUACAUAGGUUAAAUUCUGCAACAUUUUAAUAAGUGGUAUUAUAGAAGUUAGGGUUAAUUUGAGUUUUUUCAAGUUGAGCCGUGGUCAUCUGUGUUUAUCUAUGCACUGUUUUUUGGCAGCAUUGUACAAACUAUAACUGGGUGAGAGUGAUGGACAAGAGAUUUGAGCAGCUUCUCAACAAGUUGAACAGAGGAUUACUGCUAAUCUUAGCUUCUGUUCAACAGCUCUCCUGUCCUCAAGGCUGGGAUUGUCAACAUAAGGCUGCUCAGUUUCUGGAGCUUUCUGUCUUUGAAGUGGCCAGCAUUUUAAGGGGGACAACCCAGUAGUUGAAAGUCUUGCAUGAUGUUAUUCCUGCAGCCUAAAAAAGUCCCAUCAACAUUUAAUUUAUGGAUUUAUGGAAGUGCAUCACAGAUGGAAGUCUGCCUUGAGACAGUAAAAGUUGAUUUCUUCAUCAACUCACCACAGUCUCAGUUGUUUCCAUUUAAUUAUAACUGUCAUCAUAAUAAGACAGCAUAAUUUAGAGCACUGACUGCAAUACCACUGCUAACACACCUUCAUAUACUUUAUCUGAACUGGUCUUUAUAUGAUACUGUAUAUCAUAUCAGUCACUGUGAAACUUUUUUUUUCAUGAAACAAAAGCCUUAACCCAUAUUAACCCACUCCCUUUUCCUCACUGUGAUUAUUUCACAGUACCUUGCUCUGCUGAACCCUCUUCAAGUUCAACCAAGUCACAGUGCUUCAAUGAACAUUUCGUGCACAUUCAGUUUACUAUAUGAACCGUAAGGCUGAUGAGCCACUGUGGCAUCAGUUCCAGUAGUUAUUUCAUUUUCUUGAUUAUCUCUAAAAUGAUCAGUAAUAUACAACUCUGAUUCCAAAAAAUGUUGAGAUGACAUGUAAAACAUAAACAAAACAUAACUGAAUAGACAAGUUGCUAAUCCUUUUUGACACUCACCUGUUUGAAAAGGGCAUCAUCAAAAGGCUCACAAAAGCUCAGUAGUUCACAAGUAUGGGGAAAAAGUCCACCACUUUAAGAACAACAUUUCUCAAAGCACAACUGAAAAGAAUUUGGCUGUUUCUCUCUCUACAACCCAUAAUAUAAUU